AGGAGUUUAGGAUAAAUUAAGUCUGAGAAAUUGUCUGUUUCUAAGUCCCCAAGGGGAACUUCUU
This 64-nucleotide transfer RNA is filed under the name Botryllus schlosseri. RNAcentral describes it as "transfer RNA-Asp". The record is from RNAcentral. Lineage: Eukaryota; Metazoa; Chordata; Ascidiacea; Stolidobranchia; Styelidae.